GUGCUCGCUUUGUCAGCACAUAUAUACUCAAAUUGGAACAAUACAGAGAAGAUUAACACAGCCCCCGUGCAAGGAUGACAUGCAAAUCUCUUAAUUCUUCCCUAUUUUU
This is a small nuclear RNA of Grammomys surdaster, 109 nucleotides long. Lineage: Eukaryota; Metazoa; Chordata; Mammalia; Rodentia; Muridae. The record is from RefSeq and is a predicted model, not a curated record.